GACGAACGCUGGCGGCGUGCUUAACACAUGCAAGUCGAACGGAAAGGCCCUGCUUUUGUGGGGUGCUCGAGUGGCGAACGGGUGAGUAACACGUGAGUAACCUGCCCUUGACUUUGGGACAACUUCAGGAAACUGGGGCUAAUACCGGAUAGGAGCUCCUGCUGCAUGGUGGGGGUUGGAAAGUUUCGGCGGUUGGGGAUGGACUCGCGGCUUAUCAGCUUGUUGGUGGGGUAGUGGCUUACCAAGGCUUUGACGGGUAGCCGGCCUGAGAGGGUGACCGGCCACAUUGGGACUGAGAUACGGCCCAGACUCCUACGGGAGGCAGCAGUGGGGAAUAUUGCACAAUGGGCGGAAGCCUGAUGCAGCAACGCCGCGUGCGGGAUGACGGCCUUCGGGUUGUAAACCGCUUUUGCCUGUGACGAAGCGUGAGUGACGGUAAUGGGUAAAGAAGCACCGGCUAACUACGUGCCAGCAGCCGCGGUGAUACGUAGGGUGCGAGCGUUGUCCGGAUUUAUUGGGCGUAAAGGGCUCGUAGGUGGUUGAUCGCGUCGGAAGUGUAAUCUUGGGGCUUAACCCUGAGCGUGCUUUCGAUACGGGUUGACUUGAGGAAGGUAGGGGAGAAUGGAAUUCCUGGUGGAGCGGUGGAAUGCGCAGAUAUCAGGAGGAACACCAGUGGCGAAGGCGGUUCUCUGGGCCUUUCCUGACGCUGAGGAGCGAAAGCGUGGGGAGCGAACAGGCUUAGAUACCCUGGUAGUCCACGCUGUAAACGGUGGGUACUAGGUGUGGGGUCCAUUCCACGGGUUCCGUGCCGUAGCUAACGCUUUAAGUACCCCGCCUGGGGAGUACGGCCGCAAGGCUAAAACUCAAAGGAAUUGACGGGGCCCCGCACAAGCGGCGGAGCAUGCGGAUUAAUUCGAUGCAACGCGUAGAACCUUACCUGGGUUUGACAUGGAUCGGGAGCGCUCAGAGAUGGGUGUGCCUCUUUUGGGGUCGGUUCACAGGUGGUGCAUGGCUGUCGUCAGCUCGUGUCGUGAGAUGUUGGGUUAAGUCCCGCAACGAGCGCAACCCUUGUUCACUGUUGCCAGCACGUUAUGGUGGGGACUCAGUGGAGACCGCCGGGGUCAACUCGGAGGAAGGUGGGGAUGACGUCAAGUCAUCAUGCCCCUUAUGUCCAGGGCUUCACGCAUGCUACAAUGGCUGGUACAGAGAGUGGCGAGCCUGUGAGGGUGAGCGAAUCUCGGAAAGCCGGUCUCAGUUCGGAUUGGGGUCUGCAACUCGACCUCAUGAAGUCGGAGUCGCUAGUAAUCGCAGAUCAGCAACGCUGCGGUGAAUACGUUCCCGGGGCU
This 1346-nucleotide ribosomal RNA is filed under the name uncultured bacterium. Its description in RNAcentral is "bacterial SSU rRNA". It matches the Rfam family "Bacterial small subunit ribosomal RNA", at positions 28 to 1381 of the family's 1533-position model. The record is from RNAcentral.